RNAcentral lists this ribosomal RNA (253 nucleotides) under uncultured bacterium. Its description in RNAcentral is "partial 16S ribosomal RNA". It matches the Rfam family "Bacterial small subunit ribosomal RNA", at positions 524 to 776 of the family's 1533-position model. The record is from RNAcentral.
UACGGAGGGUGCAAGCGUUAUCCGGAUUUACUGGGUUUAAAGGGUGCGUAGGUGGGCAGGUAAGUCAGUGGUGAAAUCUCCGAGCUUAACUCGGAAACUGCCAUUGAUACUAUCUGUCUUGAAUUAUCUUGGAGGUGAGCGGAAUAUGUCAUGUAGCGGUGAAAUGCUUAGAUAUGACAUAGAACACCAAUUGCGAAGGCAGCUUACUACACAGUUAUUGACGCUGAGGCACGAAGCGUGGGGAUCAAACAGG